GUCUGUUUGACCUUUAUUUAAGCUCAGAGGCCUGUUGUUAGAAUUGAGAUGAUCUUUCGAGGCGCCAUGACAUUUGAAUUAUUUACAAUAUUAAUUAUUUACAAGAAAAUAUGAAACUAUAUACAUAACAUGAUGACUGUGAAUUAAGUUUUCUCGAUUAAACGACCGUGGAAGAUAAGAUGGGCCUAUAAUUUGUGGAAUAUUUUGAACAUUAGGCAAGAUUUCAUUUUUUUUAAAUUUGGAAAGAGCGUAUUUCAUAAUAGACAACUUGCAUGUUAGACAAAUUUUUUAUUUAGGCAAGAAAAAGUAAAUUCCUGUAAAGAACUUAUUAAAAUCAGUAAAAUUGGAAAAUUUGGUUGUGAAAUGUUGUAAAAUGCAGAAAAUAUAGCCUUGCGAAGUUUGCAAUUUUCAGUCAUUUUGUAUUACGUGCGGAAAUUGUUACCAUUUUCGAGCCGAAAAUGUAACAAUUUUCGCACGUAAUACAAAUAUGCUAAAAAUAUGCAAACUUGGCAAGGGGUUAGGUUAAAACGCGGAAACGGAUGCGGAACGGAUGGGGUUAAAAUGCGGAACGGAACGGAUAUGGGGUUAAAAUGCGGAACGGAACGGAUAUGGGGUUAAAAUGCGGAACGGAACGGAUAUGGGGUUAAAAUGCGGAAUGGAACGGAUAUGGGGUUAAAAUGCGGAACGGAACGGAUAUGGGGUUAAAAUGCGGAACGGAUAUGGGGUUAAAAUGCGGAACGGAACGGAUAUGGGGUUAAAACGUAACCCGAGGUUUAGGCCCUAAUUUUAAAUAGGGUCUGACACAAAACCUGUCUAGACCGUGGGACGCCCACAUGUUAUUUUUAGACAUAGUCAUGCGAUAUGAUUGACAAGUGUUGUAGAUUUCAUUGCACAAAAAAUUUAUAUUCUUAUGAACAUGUCCGCAGAGUGCGCCUUUUGCUUUUUAAUUAAAAAGCAAAAUGCGCACUCUGCGGACAUGUUCAUGAGAAUAUAAUUUUUUUGUGCAAUGAAUGUGUCAGAUCCUAUUUAAAAUUAGGGCCUAAACUGCAGGUUACGAUUUAACCCCAUAUCCAUUCCGUUCCGUUCCGCAUUUUACCCCAUAUCCGUUCUGUUCCGCAUUUUAACCCCAUCUGUUCUGUUCCGCAUUUUAACCCCAUCCGUUCCGUAUUUUAACCCCAUCCGUUCCGUUCCGCAUCCGCGUUUUAACCUAACCCACUUCGCAAGGCUAUAUUUUCUGCAUUUUACAACAUUUCGCAACUAAAUUUUGAAAUUUUACUAAUUUUGUUAUUUUCUUU
This is a non-coding RNA of Paramuricea clavata, 1295 nucleotides long. Lineage: Eukaryota; Metazoa; Cnidaria; Anthozoa; Malacalcyonacea; Plexauridae. The record is from the annotation of a GenBank genome assembly.